AGUGAACGCUGGCGGUAGGCCUAACACAUGCAAGUCGAACGGCAGCACAGUAAGAGCUUGCUCUUACGGGUGGCGAGUGGCGGACGGGUGAGGAAUACAUCGGAAUCUACUUUUUCGUGGGGGAUAACGUAGGGAAACUUACGCUAAUACAGCAUACGACCUACGGGUGAAAGCAGGGGAUCUUCGGGCCUUGCGCGAUUGAAUGAGCCGAUGUCGGAUUAGCUAGUUGGCGGGGUAAAGGCCCACCAAGGCGACGAUCCGUAGCUGGUAUGAGAGGAUGAUCAGCCACACUGGAACUGAGACACGGUCCAGACUCCUACGGGAGGCAGCAGUGGGGAAUAUUGGACAAUGGGCGCAAGCCUGAUCCAGCCAUACCGCGUGGGUGAAGAAGGCCUUCGGGUUGUAAAGCCCUUUUGUUGGGAAAGAAAAGCAGCAGGUUAAUACCCCGCUGUUCUGACGGUACCCAAAGAAUAAGCACCGGCUAACUUCGUG
RNAcentral lists this ribosomal RNA (492 nucleotides) under uncultured bacterium. RNAcentral's name for it is "partial 16S ribosomal RNA". It matches the Rfam family "Bacterial small subunit ribosomal RNA", at positions 29 to 507 of the family's 1533-position model. The record is from RNAcentral.